GUGGGGAAUCUUGCGCAAUGGGCGAAAGCCUGACGCAGCCAUGCCGCGUGAAUGAUGAAGGUCUUAGGAUUGUAAAAUUCUUUCACCGGGGACGAUAAUGACGGUACCCGGAGAAGAAGCCCCGGCUAACUUCGUGCCAGCAGCCGCGGUAAUACGAAGGGGGCUAGCGUUGCUCGGAAUUACUGGGCGUAAAGGGCGCGUAGGCGGACAGUUUAGUCAGAGGUGAAAGCCCAGGGCUCAACCUUGGAAUUGCCUUUGAUACUGACUGUCUUGAGUACGGGAGAGGUGAGUGGAACUCCGAGUGUAGAGGUGAAAUUCGUAGAUAUUCGGAAGAACACCAGUGGCGAAGGCGACUCACUGGCCCGUUACUGACGCUGAGGCGCGAAAGCGUGGGGAGCAAACAGGAUUAGAAACCCGUGUAGUCC
Molecule: ribosomal RNA, 425 nt
Filed under: uncultured bacterium
Lineage: Bacteria
Description: partial 16S ribosomal RNA
Rfam family: Bacterial small subunit ribosomal RNA
Source: RNAcentral